AUUGAACGCUGGCGGAAUGCUUUACACAUGCAAGUCGAACGGUAGAGGGGGCAACCCUUGAGAGUGGCGAACGGGUGAGUAAUGUAUCGGAACGUGCCCAGUCGUGGGGGAUAACGUAGUGAAAAUUACGCUAAUACCGCAUACGAUCUAUGGAUGAAAGCGGGGGAUCGCAAGACCUCGCGCGAUUGGAGCGGCCGAUAUCAGAUUAGGUAGUUGGUGGGGUAAAGGCUCACCAAGCCAACGAUCUGUAGCUGGUCUGAGAGGACGACCAGCCACACUGGGACUGAGACACGGCCCAGACUCCUACGGGAGGCAGCAGUGGGGAAUUUUGGACAAUGGGCGCAAGCCUGAUCCAGCAAUGCCGCGUGCAGGAUGAAGGCCUUCGGGUUGUAAACUGCUUUUGUACGGAACGAAACGGUGAGCUCUAAUACAGUUUGCUAAUGACGGUACCGUAAGAAUAAGCACCGGCUAACUACGUG
RNAcentral lists this ribosomal RNA (479 nucleotides) under uncultured bacterium. RNAcentral describes it as "bacterial SSU rRNA". It matches the Rfam family "Bacterial small subunit ribosomal RNA", at positions 30 to 507 of the family's 1533-position model. The record is from RNAcentral.